CCCUUAGAUGUCCGGGGCUGCACGCGCGCUACACUGAAGGAAUCAGCGUGCGGGUUUACCUGGCUCGAGAGAGCUGGGCAAUCCGGUGAAAAUCCUUCGUGAUUGGGAUCGGGACUUGCAAUUAUUUCCCUUGAACGAGGAAUCCCUAGUAAGUGCAGGUCAUCAGCUUGCGUUGAUUACGUCCCUGCCCUUUGUACACACCGCCCGUCGCUGCCCGGAACUGAGCCGUUUCGAGAAAUGCGGGGACUGUUGACUUGCUGAUCGCAAGGUUGGCUUGUCGGUGGAAACCGUUUUAAUCGCAGCGGCUUGAACCGGGCAAAAGUCGUAACA
Molecule: ribosomal RNA, 330 nt
Filed under: uncultured eukaryote
Lineage: Eukaryota
Description: partial 18S ribosomal RNA
Rfam family: Eukaryotic small subunit ribosomal RNA
Source: RNAcentral